RNAcentral lists this ribosomal RNA (422 nucleotides) under Ditylum brightwellii. RNAcentral describes it as "partial Bacterial large subunit ribosomal RNA". It matches the Rfam family "Bacterial large subunit ribosomal RNA", at positions 1 to 385 of the family's 2925-position model. Lineage: Eukaryota; Bacillariophyta; Thalassiosirophyceae; Lithodesmiales; Lithodesmiaceae. The record is from RNAcentral.
GUUAUUAAGGGCGCAUGGUGGAUGCCUUGGCAUGCUGAGCCGAUGAAGGACGUGAAAGGCUGCGUUAAGCCUCGGGGAGUUGUCAAUUGAGCGUUGAUCCGAGGAUGUCCGAAUGGGGAAACCUGGCCCUGGUUAUGUGGGGUUACCCUUCAGUGAAUUCAUAGCUGUUGUGGGGGUUUACGCGGGGAAGUGAAACAUCUCAGUACCCGUAGGAGGAGAAAAUAAUAAUGAUUCUGCUAGUAGUGGCGAACGAACGUGGAUGAGGCUAAACCGUGUGCGUGUGAUACCUGGCAGGGGUUGCGUGUGCGGUGUUGUGGGGUGUGGCUGGUCGUGUUCUGCCAGAUACGUCCACAUGGUGUGUGUGUAAGCGGAAGUGGUCUGGGAUGGCCUACCGGAGUAGGUGAGAGUCCUGUACGCGAAUG